RNAcentral lists this ribosomal RNA (253 nucleotides) under uncultured bacterium. RNAcentral's name for it is "partial 16S ribosomal RNA". It matches the Rfam family "Bacterial small subunit ribosomal RNA", at positions 524 to 776 of the family's 1533-position model. The record is from RNAcentral.
UACGGAGGGGGCUAGCGUUGUUCGGAAUUACUGGGCGUAAAGCGCGCGUAGGCGGCUUUGCAAGUCAGAGGUGAAAGCCUGGAGCUCAACUCCAGAACUGCCUUUGAAACUGCAUCGCUAGAAUCAUGGAGAGGUUAGUGGAAUUCCGAGUGUAGAGGUGAAAUUCGUAGAUAUUCGGAAGAACACCAGUGGCGAAGGCGGCUCACUGGACUGGUAUUGACGCUGAGGUGCGAAAGCGUGGGGAGCAAACAGG